AGUGAACGCUGGCGGUAGGCCUAACACAUGCAAGUCGAACGGCAGCACAGUAAGAGCUUGCUCUUACGGGUGGCGAGUGGCGGACGGGUGAGGAAUACAUCGGAAUCUACUUUUUCGUGGGGGAUAACGUAGGGAAACUUACGCUAAUACCGCAUACGACCUACGGGUGAAAGCAGGGGAUCUUCGGACCUUGCGCGAUUGAAUGAGCCGAUGUCGGAUUAGCUAGUUGGCGGGGUAAAGGCCCACCAAGGCGACGAUCCGUAGCUGGUCUGAGAGGAUGAUCAGCCACACUGGACCUGAGACACGGUCCAGACUCCUACGGGAGGCAGCAGUGGGGAAUAUUGGACAAUGGGCGCAAGCCUGAUCCAGCCAUACCGCGUGGGUGAAGAAGGCCUUCGGGUUGUAAAGCCCUUUGUUGGGAAAGAAAAGCAGCAGGUUAAUACCCCGCUGUUCUGACGGUACCCAAAGAAUAAGCACCGGCUAACUUCGUG
RNAcentral lists this ribosomal RNA (491 nucleotides) under uncultured bacterium. RNAcentral's name for it is "partial 16S ribosomal RNA". It matches the Rfam family "Bacterial small subunit ribosomal RNA", at positions 29 to 507 of the family's 1533-position model. The record is from RNAcentral.